UCCAAGAGUGGCACCUGGAACGAGUACUGGACGUGGGAUUUCGCAAUGGAGCCCGCUCGUUGGGACAAGGUCGCGAUCGCGUAUUCGUACGUAUGCGAAAAGGAGAAAUUAUGUUUGUGAUUAUGCGCAUUCAGUGCGCGCGUUCAGAUGCCAUGUGUCGCGAUUGCGUGCACUCCACCUGUUGGUUGACAGCCACGACGAGGAAGGUUGCCGCCGGGAUUGAAAAGUUUUUGCUUCAGCCCUGCCGGGCUGGGAAUGUGCUCAAGUUAUGCCAUCCCCCCUUACCAGCCAUCGAGGUUCUACCUCCGCUUACUGCAGUUUCCAUUAUUUCAGAGGAAAAUGAAAUGGUUCUUCCCGAUCUAAUACUGGACAUUUUGUCAAAAGUCAUGUUUUACUUGGAUACUGUUUCGCAAAGAAAGUUAAAACGGGUGUGCGUACUGUGGAACGCUUUACUUUCCAACACGGAAUCGUCGAAUGAUAUUGUAAUUGAUUUCCGCGCUCUAUGUCCGCAAUUACAACAACGCUCCGAGACGGAAGGCUACCGCCUCGGACUACUGCCUCCAUCGGGUCGUAAAUACCAGGACACAAACGCUAGCAUUAGUUAACAUAAAUGAUCGUGCGGAAACCUUUGAUACGGUUAUUUUACUCGUUGCGGAUGUACUCAGUCUGAAAAAAGUAAUCCCUUUAAUUAUCGUCAAAAACUGUUCGGCAACUAUAGUGAAGUCCUCGAGCGGAAUGUGCAGAAGAAGCAUUACUUCCGACUGGCGAAAGAUUCAAUUUCAGUUACUCCUCCUUAAGAAGGUCUGUUACCAUGUACUGGUGCUGAAUCUAGUGGCCGACUGCGGUUCAUGGAGUGAUGUGUUAUUCCCACGUCGAAGCCGAAAGAAUGACGGAUUGAAGCAGCAGGAUAGCCUAAUCAUAACUAUACCGAAACUACGGUUGGAUCAAAGCGACCGCGACGCCGAUAGCAUAGUGCAGCUUAAACAAGCUAUGGAACGCAAUUGCCCACCGGUUGAUCAGUCCGUUAGGAAACAGAUCAAGGUUCUGCAUGCCAGCUGGGUCAAACGCUUUCCCUAUCCUGGAAGUGAGUGGGAAGGAUUGCGGCGCCUUGUUCAACUCUUGGGAACGUGCGCAGCCGCGGAUCAUGUUCAAUUUGGUGCAGACUGGAAUUGGAUGGACUGUGAGAUAUAUUUUUAGUGGCUUGAAUUUGAGGGAUUUCGACAACCUGCCAAUUGGAAACAUAAUAUUAGCAAUACUUGUUCGCGCUCACCUUAAUGGCCAAAAAUUUAGGCAGUGUUCUUACAAGCUUGUCGUUUCCGGUGUGCCGCUGUGACCGGCGAUUUUCCGCGGCAGAGGUUGACGACAUCGAAAACUUCUCUAUAGUACCGCGUACUUUGGGAAGAUCUUUAGACGUGAAUGCUAUUUGGGAGUCUAUAGCUGGAAUCAGGGACAAUUUUCAAACGCGUAUUUGGCUUUAGUACAGCGCAUCAACAGUUUGGUAAACCUAACUGCGACUGUGAGCCGCUACUUGCAGUACUCGAAAACAGUACCAAGUCAAAAUAACUUUAAAAGGCAAAGAGGUUUCCUCUGCUUUUGUGGGGGGAAGACCAUGUAUGGAAAACCGGAUGCAGUGGAUUUUAU
This is a long non-coding RNA of Paramacrobiotus metropolitanus, 1641 nucleotides long. RefSeq lists it as uncharacterized. NCBI's taxonomy places the organism in Eukaryota, Metazoa, Tardigrada, Eutardigrada, Parachela, Macrobiotidae. The record is from RefSeq and is a predicted model, not a curated record. The transcript has 4 exons.